CAAUAGCGUAUAUUAAAGUUGUUGCAGUUAAAAAGCUCGUAGUUGGAUUUCUGGUUGAAGCGACCGGUCGGGCGUUGAUUCGUCUGCACUGGAGUCGGUUUUGGCCAUCCUCUAGGAAAGUGCGUCUGGUAUUAAGUUAUCGGGCGUAUGAUCCUGGUCUUUUACUGUGAAAAAAUUAGAGUGUUUAAAGCAGGCCUUCGCCUUGAAUACAUUAGCAUGGAAUAAUAAGAUAGGACUUUGGUCUAUUUUGUUGGUUUGCAGACCGAAGUAAUGAUUAAUAGGGAUAGUUGGGGGUAUUUAUAUUCCGAUGUCAGAGGUGAAAUUCUUAGAUUUUCGGAAGAUAAACGUAUGCGAAAGCAUUUACCAAGGAUGUUUUCAUUAA
RNAcentral lists this ribosomal RNA (382 nucleotides) under uncultured eukaryote. RNAcentral's name for it is "partial 18S ribosomal RNA". It matches the Rfam family "Eukaryotic small subunit ribosomal RNA", at positions 592 to 976 of the family's 1831-position model. The record is from RNAcentral.